This 467-nucleotide ribosomal RNA is filed under the name uncultured bacterium. RNAcentral describes it as "partial 16S ribosomal RNA". It matches the Rfam family "Bacterial small subunit ribosomal RNA", at positions 28 to 507 of the family's 1533-position model. The record is from RNAcentral.
GUUGAACGCUGGCGGCGUGCUUAACACAUGCAAGUCGAACGGUGAAGCAGCGCUUGCUCCUUGGAUCAGGGGCGAACGGGUGUGUAACACGUGAGCAAGCUGCGCCUGGGGCUGUGAUAAGCGCUGGAAACGGCGUCUACUACAUGAUAUCUGCGGCUGACACCGGGUGAGCAGAUGGAAAGAUUUUUCUGUCUGGGAUGGUCUCACGGCCUAUCAGUUUGUUGGUGAGGUAUUGGCUCACCAAGGCACAGACGGGGAGCCGGCCUGAGGGGGUGACCGGCCACACUGGGACUGAGACACGGACCAGACUCCUACGGGAGGCAACAGUGGGGAGUAUUGCACAGUGGGCGCGAGCGUAAUGCAGCAACGCCGCGUGAGGGAUGACGGCCUGCGGGUUGUAAACCUGUUUUAGCAAGGAAGCAGCGAAAGCGACGGUACCUGCAGAAAAAGCGCCGGCUAACUACGUG